UUUAAAAAAAUGGCUCCUCUUUGCUCAUCGAAUUGUGCGCAUCGUGAAACACAAUUAUUGACAAAACAAUUGCAAAGUCAACAUGUGAAAAAUUAAUCGCAGUGGCAAAGAUUUUUCUGGGAUAAAAUUAAUCAAAAUUUGUUUUAAAAAAAAUUGUUAUUUAAAAUAUUUUCUUUUCUUUAAAAUUGUUAAGUUUAAAAAAAAAUUAUAAAUGGAUCACGACGAACGAAGAGGAUCAUUAUGGCUGGCAUUGGGAGAACCAGAUAAAAAAACAAAGACAUUGUUUGAAAAAUUAAGGGGAAAAUAUUUAUUUCGAGCUGUCGUGCGACUUGUGAUGGAAUAUAAAAAUUGGAUAGGUGAAAAAUUAAUAUCAGAAGAACCAGAAACGGGAACGAAAAGAAAAAAGAGAAAUGAAGAAAAAAAGGAACUUACGUUAAAGGAUCGCUCGAUUCUUUUAAUUGAUCCACAUCAAAGAACGAGAGAUAAUCGAGCUUAUAUUUGGCAAUUGAUAAGAAAUUUACAAGCAUUCAAAAAAUAUGACGACAGUCUCAGAGAGAGUUUGGCACCUGACUGUCGAUAUCAAUACGUACCAGCACAGCGGGUUAUCGUACGUCAGGGGCACACAGCCGAGGCACUUUAUUUUAUUGUUAGUGGACAAAUUAUUUUGUCAAAAAUAGAAAUUAACAAUGUGAGCGGUGACAAAAUAGAAACUAAUGUUGGUACAUUAAAAGCAGGAGAAACAUUUGGCGAAAUUUCUCUUUUACACAGAGUUCCAAGAACAUUGACAAUUACUAGUAAAACUCCCGUCGACUUAUUGUACAUUUCACGAGAAUAUUUUAAUCAAAUUUUAAAACAUUCACUUAUGGAAGAAUGGGACAUACUACAAGACGCUUUGAUUAAUUUUAAUUAUUUCAAAGGUUGGGAUGAAAAUACAAUGCGCGAAUGUUGUAUACUUAGUAAAGUGAAAAAUUAUAAACCCAAUGAGAUUAUUAUUGGCGAUGGAAAAGGAAUGGUAAAUUAUGUUUAUUUUGUUCUUGUCGGUGAAUGUAAAUUAAUUGAACAUAUGAUAGUGGAAGAGAAAAAAUUUAAUCGAGAAAUUCAAUAUAAUUUAUAUAAUAAUUUAGAAACGAAAGAAUCAAGACUUAAGAAAAAAGAUAUGGAGAUGCGGAAAAAUCAAAAAUUAACAAAAUAUAGUGAAAAAUUUGAUCAAGAUAAAUGGAGUUUAGAGAAAAGUUUGCAAUCAGAAAAACCUACGUCAAUCACUGAUUUAACAGAAUAUUUGAAAAGAAAACGAUUUCCAAGUAAAGAUCGAUUAAGUAUGGCUACUGUAAGAAUUUUAGACGUUAUAAAUCAGUGGCACGAUAUUACGGAAACUGCAAAUACGCUAAUGAUGAAACCUUCGACAAUAUCGCAACAACAAUAUCCAAAAAAUGUACGGACAAGAUUUAUGCAAAUUUGUAUAUUUUAUCGAGGAUCUUGUUUUGCUUUAGGUGAAGAAAUGCGGAAUAGACGAAUAGUGUCAUUAACAGAUGUAAGAUGUUUAUUAAUUCCACGUUAUUGGCUCUUGAAGCAAAAUCGAGCAAAUAUUUGGGAGAGAGUAAAAUUAUUUUUGAAUUCAAAAUAUCCUAAUAGUGAUGAAUUACUUCAAACAUUUGUUGUACAUAGAAAGUGGACAAAAUAUAGACAAGGUUUAGUGGAAGAAGCCAUUGGAAGAAAUGGUCGUCAGGCAUAUAACGACACCAAUAAAUGUGACGUUCCAUAUUCAAUAAGAAUUAACGAAAUUUCAUAAAAUAAAUAUUUCACUAAAAUCCUUCAGCACGUGGAUCAAGUGAAAUUUUUAACACAUCACGUAUACUAAUAGGUUUAACUUUUGCCUCUGAAACACAUAUGUAAUAAUAAAAAUUAUUUUUCAUAUAAACGCUAUAACCUAAAAAAAAUAAAAUAAAAUAAACCUAAAAAUAAUAAAGUUAAAUAAAUUUUUUUGUAAAUAAACAACACCAGGGUGGGAAUCCAGCCAUAAUGGCUGUAAAAUAUUAUAAAUUAUAAAAAUUGUUUUCUUUUGAUACUCACUUCAUUUUGUUUAAAUAUUAAAUUCUCCUAUUAAGAAACCAACUUGCCAAAGUCGUCAGAUUAAUAGUCGACUAAUAAUAAUUAAAUUCGAUUAUGAUUUGUCCUUUCGUUCUGUUAUGAAAACUCUCAUGAGGCAUUGAGUGUAGAAUCUACGUUACCGACGGUCGCUUAUCGGUUAUUGAUCGUGGAUAAAAUUCGCUAUUAAUUAACCUGAAUGUCAGCGAGAAGAGAGGGCGCUGUUUAACAAUGCUUUCGAGUUUGACUCGUCAGCCAUUUUACCCUCAUUCUCAUCCUGGUGUCAGUACAGAAUAGUUCGUGUUUUUCUCUAUUCUUUUUUUGUAAAACCAAAAUUAAAAUGUAACGUAAUUGUAACUAAUAGUGCGACGAGGCGUCUUCGUCGUCGUCAAUUGGACUGUCAAAGAAUUUGAUUCAAAAGCUGCAUGUUCCAUAGAUUUUAAUGCAAAUGAAACUGGUGAUAUGACCUACGGAAAGCUGCUAUCAAUUAUUUUAGAACGCAAAGAAACUGAACAAAUUGUAUUAAACGGAUCAAAGCUUUGUUAAUACAACAAAUUGUAUUGCCGAUUUAACAAUUUAGUUUUGUUAUUUCAACUGUUCCAUAACAAUUUUUUUUGGUCAUCAAACAAUUCUGUUUGUUCACCGAACAAUCCGAAUAGUUUUAAUAACAAUCCGAUUUUUUUUUGUCCCAAAAACAAAUAGAACUACUGGUUCUAUAUUGACAAUCCGGAAUUGUUGUGUUGACUUAAUUUUUUAGUAACCAUAACAAUUCUUUUUUCUCCGUGUCAGUAAUUUAUUUUUUUGUCCUUAUUUUUUCUUUAUCCUAAUUUUUCCAAUCAUUAAAAAUAUAAGAAAAAAAGUUAAAACAAACCCAGUAAAUAAUUUCUAUUUUACGUUCAACUUUCUACAAUUUUUUUUUCUUUCAUCUAAGUUUUAAAGAGAAAUAAAAUAGAAGAAAGAGAAUUGUUACACUGACAAUCUAGUUCUUCAUCUCAGAUCAAAAUGAAAACUGAAUUAAUUGCUCUUUAUGAGGUUUAUUGUUAGUUGCUACUAAAAUUAUACGAUAAGACUCAACUUGACCCCAAUUGACUCUUCCACACGUGGUCAGUUAGUACAUUUGAAAGAAAGUUGUUAUUAUACAAAAUCAUUUAGUAACCCUUUUUUUUAUAAUUCACAUCAACAUUGUUAUAUAGAAUAUUUCGUAAUACUUUUCAUAAUUUUAUUAUCUUUAAUUGUAAUUUACUUCAUUUUAUAAUUAUAACGUUAAAAGUUAAUAACAAUAAUCCAUGCAUUAAAUACGUGCAGCAUGCUACA
Molecule: RNA transcript, 3399 nt
Organism: Leptopilina boulardi
Lineage: Eukaryota; Metazoa; Arthropoda; Insecta; Hymenoptera; Figitidae
Exons: 11
Source: RefSeq, a predicted model, not a curated record